GUUGAAACACUGGUUUCUGUAUGAUCACUGAAAUUAAGCAACAUUGAGCCUGGUCGGUACUUAGAUGGCUAACCGCUUGGUAAUACCAGGUGCUGUAA
Molecule: non-coding RNA, 98 nt
Organism: Acanthosepion pharaonis
Lineage: Eukaryota; Metazoa; Mollusca; Cephalopoda; Sepiida; Sepiidae
Source: the annotation of a GenBank genome assembly